AGCACUUAAUCAGAAUUUUGCUUUAAAGGAUUAUAAUACUAACUUUUGGAAGGGAUUUUUUUUUCAAAAAUAAUUUUUCUGCUAUUAUUGUUAAAUUAUUUAUUUAUAUUUUAAAUUUAAGAAAUUAGUACUAUAGGUUUCACUUAUAUAGAAUAUUACACACAGUUUACAAUCAUUUUAAAAAUCUUAUUAGUCAUUCAAUUUAUCAGAUAAUUAUCACAUAAACAACUUUUCAUAUAAACAAAAUAUUUCAAAAUAAACACUACAGAGAUAAGUUAGUAUCAAACAUACUGUUAAGAUUAUUUUCAGAUUGAGUGUCUGACCACUGGCUAGAGCACGAACAUCGACAAUUCCCACCUGAACUAGACGUAGCUUCAAUUAGUUCAUUUUCCUGCACAGAUUUGUUUGCUCUAGUGUCUAACAACAUUACAUUCAUGGUCUCUUCUAAUAUGCGCGUUUCGGGGAAGUCAACCUAAAAUGUUUACCACUCUGUUUUAGAUGUGUACUAUAAUUUUAAAAUAUUUAAUGUAACAUAUGAAUUACCUUUGUAUGUUUUUUAUCCGUAGCAUAUACUAUUGACGUGCAACAUACUUCUGCAACUUUCUUUACCGCUCCUCCAGGUCCAUAAAAUGUCCAGCAGCAUAUUUCAUUAGAUCCAAUGACGUCUUUAAUGAAAAGACCGCGUUCUCUGUGCUUUUCCGCAAGUUUGUCAAAGAGCUCGAUGUUUUUUAAUAAGUUAUCAUCGGAUGCACUGUUUCAUUUUAUUUCACUUAAGUUAACUAGAUUAUAAAUAAUUGUUAAAAAUUAAUAACAGAUACAUACCCAGUAUACGAAUACUUAUUGUUAUGGCGGUUGAUUGCGAAUUUCACCACCGGCUAGAAAUAAGAUUAAAUACCUAAGUAACCUUAUGUAAAAUAUACUUAGAAAUAAAAUAUUUAAAAAAAAAUACCUUUGAACUGAUGGAGAUUAAUUUUUGGGCUUCAUUUUGUGACGUUAUUAAUGUAAUCCACGUUAUGUUUGUAUUCCUAUUUCUUUUUUUCUGCAGCGCCUGCUCACAGGCUUCCGAUAGUUCAAUGACACCGUAGUACUUUGCUUCUGACAAUAUUUCUGAUAUCUCUACACAGGACGCUGGCAGCGGGACGGAACCAUCUCGUAAAAAAUUCAAAAUUGUACCGAAAUGUUUGCCACAGCGGUCAAUAAAAAUCCAUCCUGAUUGUGAUUUGGUAAUAUUUACAGUUUCCGUCAAUACGAGUUCUCGGAGCUUGGAAUCUAGUUUAGUGAGUGUCGUUACAGUUGUGUAGAACAGUGAUCCGCCAAUAUUCAACUUGACGUAAUUAGACACCUCCUGUUUCGUUUCGUUCACCGGACCCAUCGGAAGAGAAAUCCCGAUGAAGCCAGAAGAACACCAAAGUCAAUAAACUAUUGCUUAAAAACCAAUUAAUUAUAAUAGAAUGGGUGACCAGACCAACAUCAAAAGUUGAGAAUCUUUCGCUAUAAUAUUUAGGACAAAAACUAAAUUGGUUAACACACCAACUACUAUACGACCAAGUUACACAAUUACACUGUUUACAACUUGGAUAUGAGUUUAAAACC
Molecule: long non-coding RNA, 1593 nt
Organism: Adelges cooleyi (spruce gall adelgid)
Lineage: Eukaryota; Metazoa; Arthropoda; Insecta; Hemiptera; Adelgidae
Exons: 3
Source: RefSeq, a predicted model, not a curated record